AUUGAACGCUGGCGGCAGGCCUAACACAUGCAAGUCGAACGAGUGGCGGACGGGUGAGUAAUGUCUGGGAAACUGCCCGAUGGAGGGGGAUAACUACUUGAAACGGUAGCUAAUACCGCAUACCAUCGGAUGUGCCCAGAUGGGAUUAGCUAGUAGGUGGGGUAACGACUCACAUAGGCGACGAUCCCUAGCUGGUCUGAGAGGAUGACCAGCCAAACUGGAACUGAGACACGGUCCAGACUCCUACGGGAGGCAGCAGUGGGGAAUAUUGCACAAUGGGCGCAAGCCUGAUGCAGCAAUGCCGCGUGUAUGAAGAAGGCCUUCGGGUUGUAAAGUACUUUCAGCGGGGAGGCGUUACCCGAAGAAGAAGCACCGGCUAACUCCGUGCCAGCAGCCGCGGUAAUUC
Molecule: ribosomal RNA, 406 nt
Filed under: uncultured bacterium
Lineage: Bacteria
Description: partial 16S ribosomal RNA
Rfam family: Bacterial small subunit ribosomal RNA
Source: RNAcentral